UGGGGAAUAUUGGACAAUGGGCGAAAGCCUGAUCCAGCCAUGCCGCGUGUGUGAAGAAGGUCUUCGGAUUGUAAAGCACUUUAAGUUGGGAGGAAGGGCAGUAAGCGAAUACCUUGCUGUUUUGACGUUACCGACAGAAUAAGCACCGGCUAACUCUGUGCCAGCAGCCGCGGUAAUACAGAGGGUGCAAGCGUUAAUCGGAAUUACUGGGCGUAAAGCGCGCGUAGGUGGUUCGUUAAGUUGAAUGUGAAAGCCCCGGGCUCAACCUGGGAACGGCAUCCAAAACUGGCGAGCUAGAGUAGGGCAGAGGGUGGUGGAAUUUCCUGUGUAGCGGUGAAAUGCGUAGAUAUAGGAAGGAACACCAGUGGCGAAGGCGACCACCUGGGCGCAUACUGACACUGAGGUGCGAAAGCGUGGGGAGCAAACAGG
Molecule: ribosomal RNA, 429 nt
Filed under: Pseudomonadota bacterium
Lineage: Bacteria; Pseudomonadati; Pseudomonadota
Description: Proteobacteria bacterium partial 16S ribosomal RNA
Rfam family: Bacterial small subunit ribosomal RNA
Source: RNAcentral